AGUGAUGCUCCAGGCGCUAUCGCUCCACUUCCAGUUCAGUCUCGGCGUGACGGAAAUUAGUCCACAUUUUAAUCUACCAAAAGAGGAAUUUGGAUGAUAUCAAAUAGGUCCAGGUGGACGUGGCCAAUCGGCUGAGGUGCUCUCACACCUGGUCCUCGGUUCCUCAUCUGGCAGGCUGCUUAAAAGGAUCUGAGAGGAUAAUUCACAGUGGUCACGAUGAUGUGCUCUGAGAAUCCUCAGGACAACCGAGCAAUGCUUACCCAGACUUUGAUCCUAGACAACAAAAAAAAAAAACACUCCUGGAACUCUGGAAGAACAAUCAUUGUUUUGUGUACAAUCAUUUUCACACCAGUUCUUACCACCGUUCCUUAGUCUGCUUGCAUUUUGGUCAAAACAAACUUUACAGUUUUGACAUGGCAUUAUAUUUCUUUCCAAACUAAUGUAAAUGACUUUUUUGCAUUUUGAAAUUUGAGAUUUCUUAUCCAACAUUAUGUUAUCAGACAGAUUCUACUGAAGUGAUUGCUUGAUUUCUACUUGCAUGGCAGCGCCCUGUUGAAUGGCAGCGCCCUGCAGGCACCGUGUAAGCGUUGUCCUUGGCAGCAUGGCCUCAGUA
Long non-coding RNA from Fundulus heteroclitus (mummichog), 613 nucleotides. RefSeq lists it as uncharacterized. The transcript is spliced from 3 exons. NCBI's taxonomy places the organism in Eukaryota, Metazoa, Chordata, Actinopteri, Cyprinodontiformes, Fundulidae. The record is from RefSeq and is a predicted model, not a curated record.